UUAAGCGACUAAGCGUACACGGUGGAUGCCUAGGCAGUCAGAGGCGAUGAAGGGCGUGCUAAUCUGCGAAAAGCGUCGGUAAGGUGAUAUGAACCGUUACAACCGACGAUACCCGAAUGGGGAAACCCAGUGCAAUUCGUUGCACUAUUGCAUGGUGAAUACAUAGCCAUGCAAGGCGAACCGGGGGAACUGAAACAUCUAAGUACCCCGAGGAAAAGAAAUCAACCGAGAUUCCCCUAGUAGCGGCGAGCGAACGGGGAAGAGCCCAGAGUCUGAAUCAGUUUGUGUGUUAGUGGAAGCGUCUGGAAAGUCGCACGGUACAGGGUGAUAGUCCCGUACACAAAAACACACUUGCUGUGAACUCGAUGAGUAGGGCGGGACACGUGACAUCCUGUCUGAAUAUGGGGGGACCAUCCUCCAAGGCUAAAUACUCCUGACUGACCGAUAGUGAACCAGUACCGUGAGGGAAAGGCGAAAAGAACCCCGGCGAGGGGAGUGAAAUAGAACCUGAAACCGUGUACGUACAAGCAGUGGGAGCACCUUCGUGGUGUGACUGCGUACCUUUUGUAUAAUGGGUCAGCGACUUAUAUUUUGUAGCAAGGUUAACCGAAUAGGGGAGCCGUAGGGAAACCGAGUCUUAACUGGGCGUCUAGUUGCAAGGUAUAGACCCGAAACCCGGUGAUCUAGCCAUGGGCAGGUUGAAGGUUGGGUAACACUAACUGGAGGACCGAACCGACUAAUGUUGAAAAAUUAGCGGAUGACUUGUGGCUGGGGGUGAAAGGCCAAUCAAACCGGGAGAUAGCUGGUUCUCCCCGAAAGCUAUUUAGGUAGCGCCUCGUGAACUCAUCUUCGGGGGUAGAGCACUGUUUCGGCUAGGGGGUCAUCCCGACUUACCAAACCGAUGCAAACUCCGAAUACCGAAGAAUGUUAUCACGGGAGACACACGGCGGGUGCUAACGUCCGUCGUGAAGAGGGAAACAACCCAGACCGCCAGCUAAGGUCCCAAAGUCAUGGUUAAGUGGGAAACGAUGUGGGAAGGCAUAGACAGCCAGGAUGUUGGCUUAGAAGCAGCCAUCAUUUAAAGAAAGCGUAAUAGCUCACUGGUCGAGUCGGCCUGCGCGGAAGAUGUAACGGGGCUAAACCAUGCACCGAAGCUGCGGCAGCGACACUUAGGUGUUGUUGGGUAGGGGAGCGUUCUGUAAGCCGUUGAAGGUGACCUGUGAGGGUUGCUGGAGGUAUCAGAAGUGCGAAUGCUGACAUAAGUAACGAUAAUGCGGGUGAAAAACCCGCACGCCGGAAGACCAAGGGUUCCUGUCCAACGUUAAUCGGGGCAGGGUGAGUCGACCCCUAAGGCGAGGCUGAAAAGCGUAGUCGAUGGGAAACAGGUUAAUAUUCCUGUACUUGGUGUUACUGCGAAGGGGGGACGGAGAAGGCUAGGCUAGCCGGGCGACGGUUGUCCCGGUUUAAGCAUGUAGGCGGAGUGACUUGGUAAAUCCGGUUGCUUAUCAACGCUGAGGUGUGAUGACGAGCCACUACGGUGGUGAAGUAGUUGAUGCCAAGCUUCCAGGAAAAGCCUCUAAGCAUCAGGUAACAUUAAAUCGUACCCCAAACCGACACAGGUGGUCAGGUAGAGAAUACUCAGGCGCUUGAGAGAACUCGGGUGAAGGAACUAGGCAAAAUGGUGCCGUAACUUCGGGAGAAGGCACGCUGGCAUUAGGUAAAGAGACUUGCUCUCGGAGCUGAAGCCAGUCGCAGAUACCAGCUGGCUGCAACUGUUUAAUAAAAACACAGCACUGUGCAAACACGAAAGUGGACGUAUACGGUGUGACGCCUGCCCGGUGCUGGAAGGUUAAUUGAUGGGGUCAGCCUUACGGCGAAGCUCUUGAUCGAAGCCCCAGUAAACGGCGGCCGUAACUAUAACGGUCCUAAGGUAGCGAAAUUCCUUGUCGGGUAAGUUCCGACCUGCACGAAUGGCGUAAUGAUGGCCAGGCUGUCUCCACCCGAGACUCAGUGAAAUUGAACUCGCUGUGAAGAUGCAGUGUACCCGCGGCAAGACGGAAAGACCCCGUGAACCUUUACUAUAGCUUGACACUGAACAUUGAGCCUUGAUGUGUAGGAUAGGUGGGAGGCAUUGAAGUGUGGACGCCAGUCUGCAUGGAGCCAACCUUGAAAUACCACCCUUUAAUGUUUGAUGUUCUAACUCGGCCCCGUGAUCCGGGGUGAGGACAGUGUCUGGUGGGUAGUUUGACUGGGGCGGUCUCCUCCCAAAGAGUAACGGAGGAGCACGAAGGUUAGCUAAUCACGGUCGGACAUCGUGAGGUUAGUGCAAAGGCAUAAGCUAGCUUGACUGCGAGAGUGACGGCUCGAGCAGGUACGAAAGUAGGUCUUAGUGAUCCGGUGGUUCUGAAUGGAAGGGCCAUCGCUCAACGGAUAAAAGGUACUCCGGGGAUAACAGGCUGAUACCGCCCAAGAGUUCAUAUCGACGGCGGUGUUUGGCACCUCGAUGUCGGCUCAUCACAUCCUGGGGCUGAAGUAGGUCCCAAGGGUAUGGCUGUUCGCCAUUUAAAGUGGUACGCGAGCUGGGUUUAGAACGUCGUGAGACAGUUCGGUCCCUAUCUGCCGUGGGCGUUGGAAGAUUGAGAGGGGCUGCUCCUAGUACGAGAGGACCGGAGUGGACGAAUCACUGGUGUUCGGGUUGUCAUGCCAAUGGCAUUGCCCGGUAGCUAAAUUCGGAAGAGAUAACCGCUGAAAGCAUCUAAGCGGGAAACUUGCCUCGAGAUGAGUCUUCCCUGGGGCUUUAAGCUCCCUGAAGGAACGUUAAAGACUAUGACGUUGAUAGGCUGGGUGUGUAAGUGCAGCGAUGCAUUGAGCUAACCAGUACUAAUGAUCCGUGAGGCUUAACCUU
RNAcentral lists this ribosomal RNA (2905 nucleotides) under Yersinia kristensenii. Its description in RNAcentral is "bacterial LSU rRNA". It matches the Rfam family "Bacterial large subunit ribosomal RNA". Lineage: Bacteria; Pseudomonadati; Pseudomonadota; Gammaproteobacteria; Enterobacterales; Yersiniaceae. The record is from RNAcentral.